This is a non-coding RNA of Dallia pectoralis (Alaska blackfish), 71 nucleotides long. Lineage: Eukaryota; Metazoa; Chordata; Actinopteri; Esociformes; Umbridae. The record is from the annotation of a GenBank genome assembly.
GCAGGGUGGUACAGUGGGUAGAGUUGUCGCCUACCAAGCCGUCGGCAGUGGUUAGAUUCCAUCCGCCCGCA